UUUUUCUUUCUUUUUAAUAAAAUAACAAACACAAGCAGAGCAAAUAAAAUAUGUAUCAUUGUGUAUCAAUAAAGUAUUUACAACCUUAAAUAAAGCUAAAUUUAUUCCUAAUCAUACCCAGUUCAGAAAUGUCCAGAUUUUCCUGAACUAUAAAUCUAAACAACUGUAUAGAUUUUAUUUAAAACUUGUCUAAAUGGAUAAAAAUUCAUGUUUCAUAACAUUUAUAUCUAAUUUAUUAUGUUUGUUUUAAGUAUUCAAAACCAUAUUGUUGCGGAUUGCCAAAGCUAAAUGAAACCUGAAUGUUAAAUAUAAUCAAAGCCUUAAAGGCUGUAAAAGCAAUUGCUGCCAUGUUAUGUUUUGGGGACUUUUAUUUUUCAUCCACAUAUAUACAAGAAUUAAAACCUGACAUGAGUGUUGUCUAGUUAAAAGUAAGAAGGUUUUAACUUUAUAUAAAUAAAGACUUUUAGCAGAAAGUCAUUUUUAAUAUGUUUUAUAUUUCACAAGGAGACAACACGUUUACCAGGCUAAAGUUGGGGUCAAAUAUACAUGUGCUGAAACAUAUAACUCAAAAAGAAAUCAUCAUGGAUUAUCCCCUGGUAGUGUUUGUAACUUC
RNAcentral lists this long non-coding RNA (613 nucleotides) under Mytilus galloprovincialis (Mediterranean mussel). The record is from RNAcentral. Lineage: Eukaryota; Metazoa; Mollusca; Bivalvia; Mytilida; Mytilidae.